AUUAAUAACACAUAAUUGCCACACUUUGGGUGGGGCUAAAAGAUCGUUAACUACUCCAGCUUUUAGGAAAAAUCAAAGUGACGAUCCGUAACUAUUGAAUUUUUUUCCGUUUCGGAUUGUUGACAAGAAAUCAAUCAAAAGUCAGACAAAAGAGAGGGAGAUAGAACCCAAGUUUAAAACCUGGCCAGGGACAGUG
This is a non-coding RNA of Arabidopsis thaliana (thale cress), 196 nucleotides long. RefSeq annotates it as other RNA. NCBI's taxonomy places the organism in Eukaryota, Viridiplantae, Streptophyta, Magnoliopsida, Brassicales, Brassicaceae. The transcript has a single exon. The record is from RefSeq.